UCUGCAGCAGCGCGCGCUUAUGCUCCGCCAGCUCUUCGCGCAGGCGGAUCGUCGCCUCCAGAUCCUCGCCGCGUUCCAGUCUCGGCUGCAGAUCC
Molecule: transfer RNA, 95 nt
Filed under: Enterobacter cloacae
Lineage: Bacteria; Pseudomonadati; Pseudomonadota; Gammaproteobacteria; Enterobacterales; Enterobacteriaceae
Description: tRNA-Glu
Source: RNAcentral